Long non-coding RNA from Hevea brasiliensis (rubber tree), 2788 nucleotides. RefSeq lists it as uncharacterized. NCBI's taxonomy places the organism in Eukaryota, Viridiplantae, Streptophyta, Magnoliopsida, Malpighiales, Euphorbiaceae. The record is from RefSeq and is a predicted model, not a curated record. The transcript is spliced from 4 exons.
AAAACGACGCCGUUCAAAAGCCUUUCUUUCUGUAACUUUGCUUUUCCUUCGCGCCUGUUUUUGUGUUUUCCUCCAGCUUCUCACCCUAAUCUUCUGAAAGAAAUAAACAUAUCCAGCGCCGUCUCACCGCCUUCGGAGCAUCAUACCGCCAUUCCGCCGCCGUCGCUCCCUUCAUCAGGUCCGGAGAACCCAGUGGUACCAAUCCGACAGCGUGGGGUGGCCCGCAGCCAAAGAUAGGCCUGGGUUCACCACGGACUAAUCAACUGCAACUUCCGUCGUUUAUGCCUCACUAAAGCAUAGUCAGCUCCAGAUGACAUCCAUUGCUUUUUCAGGAUCUGCAGAAAGUUGGGUCACUAACAUGUUGAGAAAUCAGAUUUGCAAAUCAUAUUUUUUUGCGUUUUUUAAUGUGUUUUUUUCCCUCUUUCCAUAUGGAUUAUUGUAUCUGGGAUCUCUUUUGCAGAGACUGGUAUUAAAUAUAAAUCUGAAAAUGGAAAACCAUUUUCCCAAGGAAAGUCAAUUCGUGGUUUUAAUCAUCAAAAUUUGAAAUUGAACAGUUAAUUUCCCAACUCUUUUGCAAUUAAAUCAAAAUCAUCUUUGUCGAAUCUCUGAUCUUAGAUAUGACUGAGGUAUGUUAAUGCUAAUCAGAAAUGCCAUUUCUCUUUCUAUUUUGAAAUUUGAUAAUUGGCUAUAUGUUGUCUUUUCUUAUUGAGAAAUUGAAAUGGCACUUAAUAAAGCCAAAUCGAUCUCCACUUUUGUUCCAGUCGUCGUUUAAUGUCUUCGUUUUUUUGUUUACAAUAAAAAACAUACUGUGGUUAUUGCAAUAGGUUCAAGCAGCUGCUGACACAGUUAGGAGCAGGUUUCAAGGUCAUUGAACUGGAUGAGGAAAGUGAUGGAGCUGAAAUUCAAUCAGCUUUAGCAGAGUGGACUGGACUGAACUAAGGACUGUACCUGACGUGUUUAUUGGUUGUAGUGAUUAUAAGGCCAAACUCCACAUUGCUGUUGCUUGAUUUCAAUUUUGUUCUCGAGGAUCAUUACUUGGCUAUAACAAUAAAUUGAUCGUUGGAAAAAUGAACACAGAUGUCAAAACGAAAUCAAUCCUUUUAUUUUAUUGCUUUGUUUUGAUUGAACCCUUGGUAUGUAGUGAUUGGUAUUUGAUGGGGACAUCUGCUUCAGAUCCUGAUGGUACAUAUGAAUAUGAUCUUCGUAAUACUCUUAUGUACACUUUGUUUCUUCGUUUAGCUUAUUAUUAUUAUUAUUAUUAUUUUGCUGAACUAGCUUAUUUUCUGUUGUAGCAAUUUUGGUUCUUAAUUCUAAAUUGUUAACUUCUAAUCCAUUGGCUGAGAAUUGAGUGAUCUAGAGUGUGAGACAAGGCAUAAGAGAUUGUGUUGGUGACCCGGUUGGCCUCAAUAAAAUAUCUGGGUCAAAGCAAAGGAGGGGAAGUGCUGUGGGAGCAGGUGCUAAUUCUUCAUGUAGACAUUGUCCAAGGAGGCAUCCAGCAUUAGGUUUUCUUUUCUAGCUUGAAUUUCAAAACAUGAGCAUGUUUCAUUUCCCCUGGCUUUUAUCAUGGUCAUCAAUGCAAAUUUUUUUCUCAAUGGUUUAGGUAUAUGUACUGUGCAAGAUAAAAUAUUUCGUCUCUUUUAUUUUAGUUAUUACUAAUUUUUCCACUAUUGUUACUUUUCCUUCUGUACAUCCUAUAAUGUGAAAAAUUAUUUUGUACUUUUUACAUAUGAGUUUUUGGAGCUGAUUGCUAAGUCAUUUAAGAAUUUCAAGGUUCUGGUGCUUUCUUCGUGUGAGGGUUUCUCCACUGAUGAACUUGCUGCCAAUUGCAGUUCAAUGUAAAGAAGGAUGUAGCUGAGCACAUAAAGAAGGAAUUCAAUAGGAGGCAUAGACCGGCUUGGCAUUGCUUGGCUGGUCAGAAUUUUGGUAACCUCAUUUGAACCGUAUUCUUUUUGUGGGGCAUUUAUUUUAUUUUUCUCAGAUUUGAAGCUUUGUGUUGCUAUUUUUUCUUUGAUAUUGAAGUGUUUUCAUGUGCAAGGAUUUAUGCUUUUGGUUCCCAAUUCAAUUCAUUAUUUGCUGGACGACUGAUGCUAUUUCUAUAAUUAAAGCAUGGAAUACUUAGAUCUAAGCUUAGAUUAGAUGUUAUUUACUUAUAUCUAUGUUCAUUGCCAAUAUUGCAUGUAUGGUUUUCUCCUCUUUACUUUUGCUUGAUUGUCAGUAUAAGCUUCAGCUUGAGGCUUGCCUUUUGCAAUUAUUUUUUUAACAAAAGGAUCAUAAAAGCUUGCAUUUUUUUUCUCUCACGCUAAUGUGAAUAUAAUGGGUUGAAUAAAAUUGUGAUGUAGCAGGUGUGGUUUGAUUUAUUUGUAUUCUUUAUUCCUGUAUAUUUUUUGUUUAGCCGUAGGAUUUGGUGUAAUGUACAGGAUUAGCACUUUGUAGAUGAGAGUUUAAACUUCGAUAUGGUUGAAGCAAUGACAUGUGACUCUUGCUUCUUCUCCUCCUUUUUGACGUGUGGAUCAUACAUGCACAAACAGGAAAGUCAAAUCCAGCAGUUGAAACUCCGAAUAAAUUUGGGGCAAAUCUAUUUCCUCUGAUACUUAAUUCAGUGGACGUCCAACUUCUAGACUUGAUUUGUUUAUGAACUAGAUGCACAGUUUAAAAUAAAUAACCUCCAGGAAUCCUUAACUUGGAUUUUAACUGGAACCAUCAUUUGAUUUCUCAAUUUAGUUGACUCUUAGAAAAAAGUUACUGGCUAAAAUCAGUAAAUUCAACCAUAUGUUCCUUGUUUAUAUCA